Non-coding RNA from Trichonephila clavipes, 74 nucleotides. Lineage: Eukaryota; Metazoa; Arthropoda; Arachnida; Araneae; Nephilidae. The record is from the annotation of a GenBank genome assembly.
UCCACGGUAGCCCAGUGGUCAAGGUCUCUGACUCGUGGCUGGAAUGUCAUUAGCUCGAAUCUAGUACUGUGGAA